RNAcentral lists this ribosomal RNA (428 nucleotides) under Actinomycetes bacterium. RNAcentral's name for it is "Actinobacteria bacterium partial 16S ribosomal RNA". It matches the Rfam family "Bacterial small subunit ribosomal RNA", at positions 355 to 776 of the family's 1533-position model. Lineage: Bacteria; Bacillati; Actinomycetota; Actinomycetes. The record is from RNAcentral.
UAGGGAAUCUUCCGCAAUGGGCGAAAGCCUGACGGAGCAACGCCGCGUGAGUGAUGAAGGUCUUCGGAUCGUAAAACUCUGUUAUUAGGGAAGAACAAAUGUGUAAGUAACUAUGCACGUCUUGACGGUACCUAUCAGAAAGGCACGGCUAACUACGGGCCAGCAGCCGCGGUAAUACGUAGGUGGCAAGCGUUAUCCGGAAUUAUUGGGCGUAAAGCGCGCGUAGGCGGUUUUUUAAGUCUGAUGUGAAAGCCCACGGCUCAACCGUGGAGGGUCAUUGGAAACUGGAAAACUUGAGUGCAGAAGAGGAAAGUGGAAUUCCAUGUGUAGCGGUGAAAUGCGCAGAGAUAUGGAGGAACACCAGUGGCGAAGGCGACUUUCUGGUAUGUAACUGACGCUGAUGUGCGAAAGCGUGGGGAUCAAACAGG